Non-coding RNA from Chelonoidis abingdonii (Abingdon island giant tortoise), 95 nucleotides. The record is from RefSeq and is a predicted model, not a curated record. Lineage: Eukaryota; Metazoa; Chordata; Testudines; Testudinidae.
UGUGCUCACCACUAAACCAUCUCCUCCCCAUGUGGCCCUGAGCCUCCACCCCCAUUCAGCCCCUGCCCCAGCCUGUUCUCCCCCAAUGGCCCUUA